GUGGGGAAUAUUGGGCAAUGGGCGCAAGCCUGACCCAGCAACGCCGCGUGAAGGAAGAAGGCUUUCGGGUUGUAAACUUCUUUUGUCAGGGACGAAACAAUGACGGUACUUGACGAAUAAGCCACGGCUAACUACGUGCCAGCAGCCGCGGUAAUACGUAGGUGGCAAGCGUUAUCCGGAUUUACUGGGUGUAAAGGGCGUGUAGGCGGGACUACAAGUCAGAUGUGAAAACCAGAGGCUCAACCUCUGGCCUGCAUUUGAAACUGCAGUUCUUGAGUGCUGGAGAGGCAAUCGGAAUUCCGUGUGUAGCGGUGAAAUGCGUAGAUAUACGGAGGAACACCAGUGGCGAAGGCGGAUUGCUGGACAGUAACUGACGCUGAGGCGCGAAAGCGUGGGGAGCAAACAGGAUUAGAAACCCCUGUAGUCC
This 427-nucleotide ribosomal RNA is filed under the name uncultured bacterium. RNAcentral describes it as "bacterial SSU rRNA". It matches the Rfam family "Bacterial small subunit ribosomal RNA", at positions 354 to 796 of the family's 1533-position model. The record is from RNAcentral.